NACCACUGACGAGUCCUAAACAGGACGAAACAGCCGUCCAGGGC
RNAcentral lists this non-coding RNA (44 nucleotides) under Echinostoma caproni. Lineage: Eukaryota; Metazoa; Platyhelminthes; Trematoda; Plagiorchiida; Echinostomatidae. The record is from RNAcentral.